UGGGGGAUAUUGCGGCAAUGGGGGAAACCCUGACGCAGCAACGCCGCGUGAAGGAAGAAGGCCCUCGGGUUGUAAACUUUUGUUGCAAGGGAAGAAAAAAUGACGGUACCUUGUGAGGAAGCCACGGCUAACUACGUGCCAGCAGCCGCGGUAAUACGUAGGUGGCAAGCGUUGUCCGGAUUUACUGGGUGUAAAGGGCGCGUAGGCGGGUUUGCAAGUCAGAUGUGAAAUACCGGGGCUUAACCCCGGGGCUGCAUUUGAAACUGCAGAUCUUGAGUGUCGGAGAGGAAAGCGGAAUUCCUAGUGUAGCGGUGAAAUGCGUAGAUAUUAGGAGGAACACCAGUGGCGAAGGCGGCUUUCUGGACGAUAACUGACGCUGAGGCGCGAAAGUGUGGGGAGCAAACAGGAUUAGAUACCCUGGUAGU
RNAcentral lists this ribosomal RNA (425 nucleotides) under uncultured Clostridium sp. RNAcentral's name for it is "bacterial SSU rRNA". It matches the Rfam family "Bacterial small subunit ribosomal RNA", at positions 355 to 794 of the family's 1533-position model. Lineage: Bacteria; Bacillati; Bacillota; Clostridia; Eubacteriales; Clostridiaceae. The record is from RNAcentral.